Molecule: ribosomal RNA, 191 nt
Filed under: uncultured bacterium
Lineage: Bacteria
Description: partial 16S ribosomal RNA
Source: RNAcentral
AUUACCGCGGCUGCUGGCACGUAGUUAGCCGGUGCUUAUUCUUACGGUACCGUCAUGACCCGAGGAUAUUAGCCUCAGGCUUUUCGUUCCGUACAAAAGCAGUUUACAACCCGAGGGCCUUCAUCCUGCACGCGGCAUUGCUGGAUCAGGCUUUCGCCCAUUGUCCAAAAUUCCCCACUGCUGCCUCCCGU